GCAUAGGGUGAGUAUUCUCUCCAUUCGUUUACUUCUCACAUUUUUUUUAUUUAUUUUUUCUACUCAACCUUUUACUAGGAGCAAAUUAUUUUAUUAUCUAUCUAUCUAUAUAUACUAAAGGUUGGUGGACUUUCCAACUCAAACCCUAAUUCCCCCUUCAAAACCCUACUGCCUUAUGUCAUGUGUGAUAUCAUGCUGAUGUAAUCAUUUGCAUCAAUUUUAUUGGACCUCUACUAGCACCAAUUGGAGAACUUCAAGUGUCUACCAUAAUUCAUCAUUUAACAAGUUUAUUUCUCUUUCUUCUCAGCUACUCUCUCAUUUUGUCUCACCAUCCUCACACUUUCAUCUCUCUCUAUUCUCAAUAUCUCUUUCUCUAUCUAUAUAUACUAAAGGUUGGUGGACUUUCCAACUCAAACCCUAAUUCCCCCUUCAAAACCCUACUGCCUUAUGUCAUGUGUGAUAUCAUGCUGAUGUAAUCAUUUGCAUCAAUUUUAUUGGACCUCUACUAGCACCAAUUGGAGAACUUCAAGUGUCUACCAUAAUUCAUCAUUUAACAAGUUUAUUUCUCUUUCUUCUCAGCUACUCUCUCAUUUUGUCUCACCAUCCUCACACUUUCAUCUCUCUCUAUUCUCAAUAUCUCUUUCUCUCUCUCUCUCUGUCCUCCUCAUCUCAUCCUUAUGCUCUCAUCUCUCAUAUCAGUAUCAUCAUCUAGCAAAUUCAAACCAAGAUCAACUCAAAGUUCACAUGCAAGUGUAGAUUUGUAAUCCUUGAAUCUUGGGCUUUUAAGAAAGGUAAACAUCAAAUCAAUCUCUUCAUUCCUUCUAAAAUUCGUGCCUUUUAAUCAAGCCUAACAUUGAGUUUCAUCUUGCAUAUGAGCUUCAAGGAUCAAGGAGCCAUGAUUAAGGGAUUUGGAGUAAUUUAGAAGAACAUUGGUGACCAUGGCUGGUGAGACAAACAACUGGUUUAUGAAAACAACUGGUUUAUACAAACAGUUGGCUGGAUUGCUGGUUUAUGUAAACUAUUGGAUGCAUGUUGCUCCUAAUGAUAUCAUUCCAUUCUUCUAUUGCUAGCAAACAAGCAGAAACAGAGUCCUCAAUUUAUCCAUUCAACAUCCAUUCUCGUCCGCUCCCCUCGUGGUACGCCACCAUCCCUCCCAUCUCUUCCAUUUUUUCGCUUCUUCCUCUGCAGAAGAAGCUGCGGCAGAGCGCCGUCGUUACAAGCACCGUCUCCUCUCCCCCUUCUCGCCCGCUCCCCUCGUGGUACCACCACCGUCCCUCUCAUCUCAAUCACAGUCCGUUUAUUUUGUUUCUUCCUCUGCGGCAGAGCGCCGUCGUUACAAGCGUAGUCUCCGUAUCAAACUUCCUUUGAACACAAUUCGUCCUCCUCCUCAUCAACAUCAUCUCUCUCUCAUCAAGAUGGCAAAUCUCUGUGUAAGGGAAUGAGUAAUUUCCUUAAGAGAAGGAACAAAUGUGAAACAGUACCAAGUAGAUAAGUAAGGUCUUGGAUGCCACCCUUGAAGAUUUGGAGUUUUGAUAUGUGAUUUCUUGAAUCCAUAAUGGGACAAGAGUGAGUAACAUGAAAUUUGAUUUGAGGGUAGUUUUGUUUCAGUUUCAAUUAUUGCUUUUGACCGUGUAGCUUCUACCGUCAAGUCUGCAGUUGAUAUUCAAACACCGGGUGAUCUUAUAACUCUUACUGCUGCAGCUGCAACAGCUUUGAGAGGAGAAGCAGCUUUGAUAGCGAGAUUUCCAAAAGAAGCAAAGAAGAAUGCAUCAAUAAGUCCCUAUGAUAAGGGAAUAGCAGAAACACAAUGUCCACAUGCUUUUGCUUUUGAGGGUCAGAUGUUAGAAAUUUUUUCUCCAUGUGUGGAUGAUUUGUUGCAGGUUACAGAAAAAGGUGCAUUACGAUGGAAACAUGUGUCUGUUUACAUCAACAAGAAAUAUUAGGUCAAAAUUAAGAUCAAAAGCAAACACAUUGGAGGAGCUUUCUCCAAAAAGAGUAAAUGUGUGGAUUAUGGAGUGUGUAAUGAAGACUCGGCAUGACCAUAUCAAAAAGAAAGGGAAGCUUCUGAAGAGCUCUAUUUUGGCCUCAAAACUGCACAAGGUCUUCUAGAAUUUAAGUCUGAGAGCAAACUCCAAAAGCAAAAAUGGGUUGAUGGGACACUAUGCACUAUUUCGUAUCGUUUGAGAUUGCUCUUCUUUCUCGCUUUCUUUUGGCAUACCUGGCGACGUGAAUGAGUGAACAGGGAGCACACACAAGAUCAAAAGCAAACACAUUGGAGGAGCUUUCUCCAAAAAGAGUAAAUGUAUGGAUUAUGGAGUGUGUAAUGAAGACUCGGCAUGACCAUAUCAAAAAGAAAGGGAAGCUUCUGAAGAACCGCGGCAGCCUCCGACGUAGAUCCUGAGAGAUUCAGAUUUGCUGGUGAGACUUCAUUUGGAAAAAGACACUUGAGUUUCUGGACUAAAAAACCUGUCCUAAUUUGGAUUGUUUGUUUCUUCAGGCAAUUUGUAAGGUCAGUUCCUGAAGUGGAUUACUUGACCUUAAUGCAUGGAUUUAUUAUGGGAUGAGGGAGUGCAUUGCGGAAUACAGGAUGAUCUUUAUCUUUCUAGAAGCACCGUGGUGUAUUUUAAGCCCAAUGACAUGGAUUCUUUACAAGAAACUUUAGAGAACAUUACUUCUAAAUAUAAGCACACCAAGAAUUUGAGUCGUUAUAUUGUUGUUGAAGCUCUCUACCAGUGUGCUGCAGGUUAGAAAUUAGAUCUUAUAACUGCUGCUAUAGGACAUGCAUUGGCCACAGAAGGAAGAUUCUGCACCAGAAGUGCGAGAGUUACAAAUCACCAACGAUUGAGUAGCUCUGGCUACGUCUUUUCUGCUUCUUUGCCUCCAUAUCUCGCAAGUGCUGCAAUUACAGCUAUUGAUGUCCUCAAGGAAAAUCCCAGUCUGUUAACAAAGUUGAAGAAAAGCGUCGCUGUCUUACGGAAAGGUUUGUGCAGAAGUUGGUCAAUCCAGUAUAAAAACAGAAUUUUCUCAAGAAGAUGCAGAAUCUGAGUUUCUUAAUUACUCUAAAAAGUUGCUUCUGAAUUCUAUUGAUAAGGUUGAGAGGCUCUUUCAUAAGAAUUGGUGAAACUUUCACACAUUGAUGUCUAUGAAGUGAAGAAAAAAUUAGGAAAUUCUUGAAGCAUAGUUGAAGUUAAAGAGAGUUUUUAUCUGACAUUAGAAGUAGUGAUUUAGAGGUGAGGUAGAAAAGAAAUUUGGAUGAAAUCCUCUUCUAAUGAUAUUUCCAAUAUUCCAAUUGAUUCAUCGUAGGGUUUUGUACUCUCUCUUACAGUUACAAUGUACAAGAAGAAUGUUUCAUCAAAUUGUAUAGUGAUUUCCUUACUCGAAUUUAUUGGUUUUGGAAUUCAUGAUGAUGCUUUCUUUGAUAGGAUAUAUGAUAUAUGACUCUAUUAUUCAAAAGCAAGUUUUGCAAAUUAAUUGACUCACUUUUUUGAAUCAAUUGUAGACACAUGUAUGCGACCUGUGUUGUCAAAGAAGACAUAUUAGUGAAUUGUUGCUUGAAUUAUGUGAAACUGGGUGAUGAUUUGUUUGGAGUGGUAGCAUAGUAAAUGAUCAUUCAAGAGCAUUUUGCUUUGAGUGAUGAUUUGUUUGGAAUGGUAGCGUGAUCUCUUUCAAGAGCAUGUUUGAUUUGUGAGUAUAAGAUGUGAUUUAAACUUACUCAUUUACAUAAUUUAGUUUGAUUUAGCGUGAUCUCUAACUCGAAUGAUCCAAUUGAGCUUUGAUUUGUUUUUGAUGUAUUUUCCACCUAGGUACUCUGGUUUUCUCUCCACUUAUGUUUUCUUUCCAUUAGGCCAUUUUG
Trifolium pratense (red clover) is the source of this 3853-nucleotide RNA transcript. RefSeq lists it as uncharacterized. NCBI's taxonomy places the organism in Eukaryota, Viridiplantae, Streptophyta, Magnoliopsida, Fabales, Fabaceae. The transcript is spliced from 15 exons. The record is from RefSeq and is a predicted model, not a curated record.